GAUCAUUGACAUACUUGAUACGAACAAUGGCAACAAGCAUUACUCGGCAGGUGAAAUGCCUGCACGUGAUUAACCCAUUGUCGUUAGCCUGCGACCUAAUGUGCGCAGGGCGAAGCCGUGGCAGGCACGGAACACCCGAGGCUCGAAAGCCUCCUGACGACAC
This 163-nucleotide small RNA is filed under the name unclassified sequences. RNAcentral describes it as "DUF2693 RNA". It matches the Rfam family "DUF2693 RNA". The record is from Rfam by way of RNAcentral.